UCAAACUUGGUCAUUUAGAGGAAGUAAAAGUCGUAACAAGGUUUCCGUAGGUGAACCUGCGGAAGGAUCAUUAAAAGUAAAUGCGUAUUCGUAUCGAAUAUACAUAUACAAACCCAUUCCGAGUACAUUACCUGUUGCUUCCGUGGAGCAGUGAUUCGUCACCUCUGACGAUGGCUCUGAUCAUCCGAGGGGAGUCUUCACGGGAGGUACACAUUAAACUCUUGCAUUACCAUGUCUUCUGUCUGAAUCUGUUUAUAACAAAUGUUAAAACUUUCAACAACGGAUCUCUUGGUUCUCGCAUCGAUGAAGAACGCAGC
RNAcentral lists this unclassified non-coding RNA (317 nucleotides) under uncultured fungus. Its description in RNAcentral is "partial contains small subunit ribosomal RNA, internal transcribed spacer 1, and 5.8S ribosomal RNA". The stretch from base 1 to 73 matches the Rfam family "Eukaryotic small subunit ribosomal RNA", at positions 1759 to 1831 of the family's 1831-position model. Lineage: Eukaryota; Fungi. The record is from RNAcentral.